This 460-nucleotide ribosomal RNA is filed under the name uncultured bacterium. Its description in RNAcentral is "partial 16S ribosomal RNA". It matches the Rfam family "Bacterial small subunit ribosomal RNA", at positions 338 to 795 of the family's 1533-position model. The record is from RNAcentral.
CCUACGGGAGGCAGCAGUGAGGAAUAUUGGUCAAUGGCCGUAAGGCUGAACCAGCCAAGUCGCGUGAAGGAAGAAGGAUCUAUGGUUUGUAAACUUCUUUUAUAGGGGAAUAAAGGUAUCCACGUGUGGCUAUUUGCAUGUACCCUAUGAAUAAGCAUCGGCUAACUCCGUGCCAGCAGCCGCGGUAAUACGGAGGAUGCGAGCGUUAUCCGGAUUUAUUGGGUUUAAAGGGUGCGUAGGUUGUUUUUUAAGUCAGCGGUGAAAGUUUGGGGCUCAACCCUAAAAUUGCCGUUGAAACUGGAAGACUUGAGUGUGUUUGAGGUAGGCGGAAUGCGUGGUGUAGCGGUGAAAUGCAUAGAUAUCACGCAGAACUCCGAUUGCGAAGGCAGCUUACUAAGCCAUAACUGACACUGAAGCACGAAAGCGUGGGGAUCAAACAGGAUUAGAUACCCGAGUAGUC